UGAUGCAGAAUCUAGCAUGUUGACUGCUGA
This 30-nucleotide non-coding RNA is filed under the name Rattus norvegicus (Norway rat). Lineage: Eukaryota; Metazoa; Chordata; Mammalia; Rodentia; Muridae. The record is from RNAcentral.